AACCAGCACCUCAAGUGGUCAGGAUGAUUAUUGGGCCUAAAGCAUCCGUAGCUCGUUUCUAGUUAGUUUACGUUAACUCAUACGCUUAACGUAUGGGCUGCCGGGAAUACUGCAUAACUAGGAAGUGGGAGAGGUAGACGGUACUCGGUAGGAAGGGUAAAUCCUUUGAUCUAUUGAUGACCACCUGUGGCGAAGGCGGUCUACCAGAACACGUUCGACGGUGA
This 224-nucleotide ribosomal RNA is filed under the name uncultured bacterium. RNAcentral's name for it is "partial 16S ribosomal RNA". It matches the Rfam family "Archaeal small subunit ribosomal RNA", at positions 474 to 700 of the family's 1478-position model. The record is from RNAcentral.